RNAcentral lists this ribosomal RNA (253 nucleotides) under uncultured bacterium. RNAcentral describes it as "partial 16S ribosomal RNA". It matches the Rfam family "Bacterial small subunit ribosomal RNA", at positions 524 to 776 of the family's 1533-position model. The record is from RNAcentral.
UACGAGGGGGGCGAGCGUUGUUCGGAAUUAUUGGGCGUAAAGGGUGCGUAGGCGGUUUGGUAAGUCUUAUGUGAAAUCUAUGGGCUCAACUCAUAGUCUGCAUGAGAAACUGCCGGGCUUGAGUAUGGGAGAGGUGAGUGGAAUUCCGGGUGGAGCGGUGAAAUGCGUAGAGAUCCGGAGGAACACCGACGGCGUAGGCAGCGCCCUAGACGAGACCUGACGCUCAGGCACGAAAGCGCGGGGAGCGAACAGG